RNAcentral lists this unclassified non-coding RNA (224 nucleotides) under plant metagenome. RNAcentral's name for it is "partial contains small subunit ribosomal RNA, internal transcribed spacer 1, and 5.8S ribosomal RNA". The record is from RNAcentral.
UCUCCGUUGGUGAACCAGCGGAGGGAUCAUUACUGAGUGUAGAAACUCCCAAACCCCUGUGAACAUACCAUCUGUUGCUUCGGCGGGAUCGCCCCGGGCGCCUUUGCGUGCCCCGGAUCCAGGCGCCCGCCGGAGGACUCCAAACUCUUGUUUUAUAUGUGGCAUUAUCUGAGUGGCUUAUAGCAAAUAAAUCAAAACUUUCAACAAUGGAUCUCUUGGCUCUG